CCUACGGGUGGCAGCAGUGAGGAAUAUUGGUCAAUGGACGAGAGUCUGAACCAGCCAAGUAGCGUGAAGGAUGACUGCCCUAUGGGUUGUAAACUUCUUUUAUAAAGGAAUAAAACGAGGCACGUGUGCCUUUUUGUAUGUACUUUAUGAAUAAGGAUCGGCUAACUCCGUGCCAGCAGCCGCGGUAAUACGGAGGAUCCGAGCGUUAUCCGGAUUUAUUGGGUUUAAAGGGAGCGUAGAUGGGUUGUUAAGUCAGUUGUGAAAGUUUGCGGCUCAACCGUAAAAUUGCAGUUGAUACUGGCAGUCUUGAGUACAGUUGAGGUAGGCGGAAUUCGUGGUGUAGCGGUGAAAUGCUUAGAUAUCACGAAGAACCCCGAUUGCGAAGGCAGCUUACUGAACUGUGACUGACAUUGAUGCUCGAAAGUGUGGGUAUCAAACAGGAUUAGAUACCCGUGUAGUC
RNAcentral lists this ribosomal RNA (460 nucleotides) under uncultured bacterium. RNAcentral describes it as "partial 16S ribosomal RNA". It matches the Rfam family "Bacterial small subunit ribosomal RNA", at positions 338 to 795 of the family's 1533-position model. The record is from RNAcentral.